UACGAGGGGGGCGAGCGUUGUUCGGAAUUAUUGGGCGUAAAGGGUGCGUAGGCGGCCUGACAAGUCUGAUGUGAAAUCCCUGGGCUCAACCCAGGGCCUGCAUCGGAAACUGUCGGGCUUGAGUAUGGGAGAGGUGAGUGGAAUUUCCGGUGUAGCGGUGAAAAUGCGUAGAUAUCGGAAGGAACACCUGUGGCGAAAGCGGCUCACUGGACCAUUACUGACGCUGAGGCACGAAAAGCU
RNAcentral lists this ribosomal RNA (240 nucleotides) under uncultured bacterium. RNAcentral describes it as "partial 16S ribosomal RNA". It matches the Rfam family "Bacterial small subunit ribosomal RNA", at positions 524 to 762 of the family's 1533-position model. The record is from RNAcentral.